Molecule: ribosomal RNA, 232 nt
Filed under: uncultured bacterium
Lineage: Bacteria
Description: partial 16S ribosomal RNA
Rfam family: Bacterial small subunit ribosomal RNA
Source: RNAcentral
GAUCCUGGCUCAGAUUGAACGCUGGCGGCAGGCUUAACACAUGCAAGUCGAGGGGAAACGAUAUUGGAAGCUUGCUUCCGAUAGGCGUCGACCGGCGCACGGGUGAGUAACGCGUAUCCAACCUGCCCACCACUUGGGGAUAACCUUGCGAAAGUAAGACUAAUACCCAAUGAUAUCUCUAGAAGACAUCUGAAAGAGAUUAAAGAUUUAUCGGUGAUGGAUGGGGAUGCGU